UUGAUGAACGCUAGCUACAGGCUUAACACAUGCAAGUCGAGGGGCAUCAGGAAGAAAGCUUGCUUUCUUUGCUGGCGACCGGCGCACGGGUGAGUAACACGUAUCCAACCUGCCCUUUACUCGGGGAUAGCCUUUCGAAAGAAAGAUUAAUACCCGAUGGCAUAAUGAUUCCGCAUGGUUUCAUUAUUAAAGGAUUCCGGUAAAGGAUGGGGAUGCGUUCCAUUAGGUUGUUGGUGAGGUAACGGCUCACCAAGCCUUCGAUGGAUAGGGGUUCUGAGAGGAAGGUCCCCCACAUUGGAACUGAGACACGGUCCAAACUCCUACGGGAGGCAGCAGUGAGGAAUAUUGGUCAAUGGGCGCUAGCCUGAACCAGCCAAGUAGCGUGAAGGAUGAAGGCUCUAUGGGUCGUAAACUUCUUUUAUAUAAGAAUAAAGUGCAGUAUGUAUACUGUUUUGUAUGUAUUAUAUGAAUAAGGAUCGGCUAACUCCGUGCCAGCAGCCGCGGUAAUACGGAGGAUCCGAGCGUUAUCCGGAUUUAUUGGGUUUAAAGGGAGCGUAGGUGGACUGGUAAGUCAGUUGUGAAAGUUUGCGGCUCAACCGUAAAAUUGCAGUUGAUACUGUCAGUCUUGAGUACAGUAGAGGUGGGCGGAAUUCGUGGUGUAGCGGUGAAAUGCUUAGAUAUCACGAAGAACUCCGAUUGCGAAGGCAGCUCACUGGACUGCAACUGACACUGAUGCUCGAAAGUGUGGGUAUCAAACAGGAUUAGAUACCCUGGUAGUCCACACAGUAAACGAUGAAUACUCGCUGUUUGCGAUAUACAGUAAGCGGCCAAGCGAAAGCAUUAAGUAUUCCACCUGGGGAGUACGCCGGCAACGGUGAAACUCAAAGGAAUUGACGGGGGCCCGCACAAGCGGAGGAACAUGUGGUUUAAUUCGAUGAUACGCGAGGAACCUUACCCGGGCUUAAAUUGCAGUGGACUGAUGUGGAAACAUGUCAGUGAGCAAUCACCGCUGUGAAGGUGCUGCAUGGUUGUCGUCAGCUCGUGCCGUGAGGUGUCGGCUUAAGUGCCAUAACGAGCGCAACCCUUAUCUUUAGUUACUAACAGGUUAUGCUGAGGACUCCAGAGAGACUGCCGUCGUAAGAUGUGAGGAAGGUGGGGAUGACGUCAAAUCAGCACGGCCCUUACGUCCGGGGCUACACACGUGUUACAAUGGGGGGUACAGAAGGCAGCUAGCGGGUGACCGUAUGCUAAUCCCAAAAGCCUCUCUCAGUUCGGAUCAAAGUCUGCAACCCGACUUCGUGAAGCUGGAUUCGCUAGUAAUCGCGCAUCAGCCACGGCGCGGUGAAUACGUUCCCGGGCCUUGUACACACCGCCCGUCAAGCCAUGGGAGCCGGGGGUACCUGAAGUGCGUAACCGCGAGGAUCGCCCUAGGGUAAAA
Molecule: ribosomal RNA, 1438 nt
Filed under: uncultured organism
Description: SSU rRNA
Rfam family: Bacterial small subunit ribosomal RNA
Source: RNAcentral